This 1043-nucleotide unclassified non-coding RNA is filed under the name Hevea brasiliensis (rubber tree). Lineage: Eukaryota; Viridiplantae; Streptophyta; Magnoliopsida; Malpighiales; Euphorbiaceae. The record is from RNAcentral.
AAUCCCUACUUUUUUUGCAGUACAAUGUAACUUUGCUAAGCAGCAGUUUUCUGUUUCUUUGGCAUUCGGUAACCACCAAUAACACAAGCAUGGUCUCGCUCAAAUGGCUCAAGCGUGACCUGUUCAGUAGGCUUGAACUGCUCCUGUAUCAUCUUCUUUACUUCACUUUCAAAUACAGCCUCUGCAGGAACAGUAGAGUCGAUGCAAUUUGCCUUUAUUGAAAUGACAAAAUGGCCUCCAGCUUUCAGAAAGUAUGAAGCAUUCAAUGCUAAAAUCCUUGCCUGAUCAGGCUGUGCGACAUCAGAAAAUAUCACAUCCACCAUGCCAACAAGCAUGCGGUACUUGGCUGGAUGUCUGGCAUCUUCAAUGAUGGGUAUCACAUUUGUUCGCUUCUUUGCCAUAUUAACCAAGUCUCUGCCACUUCUGUGAGAAAAUUCCACUGCAUAGACCACUCCUGUAGGACCAACAACGUCAGACACAUGAGAGACCGUAGUACCAGAAGCUGCUCCAAGGUAGAGAAUCUUAGCACCAGGUUUAAUCCAUAUGUUAUCGACACCACCAAGAAUAGCAGCUGCCAAUUUUGAUCGGAAUGGGUUCCAAAUCCUGUAUUCGAGUUUAGUACCAUCUUCAUUCUGCACAGAGAUCCUCUUCUCAUUAUAGACGGCCUCACCAGGUACUAGAUUUUUAGUGACAAGAGCAUCUUCUUUCCCACCCUUAGCAAUGAAAACUCCUUCAUGUCUAUGAGGCUCUACCACAAUUUUGCUCCCACCUUUCAUUCCACCACCACGUCCACCACGUCCUCUUCCUCCAACACGACCGCCACGCCCACCACGCCCGCCACGCCCACCACCACCACCACGACUUUUCAUGGCACUUCCUCUGUCCCCAAAACCCCUUCCACCUCCUCUACCUCCGCCUCUACCUCUUCCACCAUCACCCCUGCCACCCCUGAAUCCACCACCACUGCCUCGGCCUCUUGGAGGUGCCAUCUCCACUGGACUGAAUACACUGAAACUAGGGAGCGAAGGCUAGCUAACAGAGGG